UAAGUCCUACGGGGGGCAGCAGUGGGGAAUAUUGGGCAAUGGGCGCAAGCCUGACCCAGCAACGCCGCGUGAAGGAAGAAGGCUUUCGGGUUGUAAACUUCUUUUCUCAGGGACGAAGAAAGUGACGGUACCUGAGGAAUAAGCCACGGCUAACUACGUGCCAGCAGCCGCGGUAAUACGUAGGUGGCAAGCGUUAUCCGGAUUUAUUGGGUGUAAAGGGCGUGUAGGCGGGAGCGGAAGUCAGAUGUGAAAAAUCAGGGCUCAAACGUGAG
Molecule: ribosomal RNA, 272 nt
Filed under: uncultured bacterium
Lineage: Bacteria
Description: partial 16S ribosomal RNA
Rfam family: Bacterial small subunit ribosomal RNA
Source: RNAcentral